ACCGAAGCCUGUAACCGCCUCCGGGCGUGAUGGGCGGCUGGUAUCCUCCUUCUGAGGGGUGCAUGGCGCAGCUUGGGCCGGCCCUUAUGGGUCGCGAAUCCCCAGUGUUGCGGCGGACCAUCCCUUGGGCAACUCAGUGGGGGCAAUUGGAUAGCUCGUGGGGCACCUUUGGCGGCUUCGGCCCUGAAGGUGGCUCGAGCUGGGUGCUGGGCUUCGGUCCGCGCCCCAACUUAUAACUAGCUCUGAUACCUCUUCUUCAUUGAAGGUUGCCGGGGUAGCCUUUCGCAUUUCGGGGUGGAAGUUGGCCCGGGAAAGAUAGUUACCUGGUUGAUUCUGCCAGUAGUCAUAUGCUUGUCUCAA
RNAcentral lists this unclassified non-coding RNA (360 nucleotides) under Cladonia subsquamosa. RNAcentral describes it as "partial 28S-18S ribosomal RNA intergenic spacer". Lineage: Eukaryota; Fungi; Ascomycota; Lecanoromycetes; Lecanorales; Cladoniaceae. The record is from RNAcentral.